ACUCAAAUAGUUUAAUAAAAAAUAUUAGUUUGUGGCACUUAAGAUGUAAAAUUUACUUUGAGUA
Molecule: transfer RNA, 64 nt
Filed under: Chiromantes haematocheir
Lineage: Eukaryota; Metazoa; Arthropoda; Malacostraca; Decapoda; Sesarmidae
Also listed under: 2 other names
Description: tRNA-His
Rfam family: tRNA
About the family: Transfer RNA (tRNA) molecules are approximately 80 nucleotides in length. Their secondary structure includes four short double-helical elements and three loops (D, anti-codon, and T loops).
Source: RNAcentral